UAGAGUUUGAUCCUGGCUCAGGGUGAACGCUGGCGGCGUGCCUAAGACAUGCAAGUCGAACGGGCCUGAUUUCGGUCAGGCUAGUGGCGGACGGGUGAGUAACACGUGGGUGAUCUACCCCAAAGUCUGGGACAACUAGGGGAAACCUUAGCUAAUCCCGGAUGGUGAGGCUUCUCCUGUGAAGUCUCUAAAGAUUUAUCGCUUUGGGAUGAGCCCGCGGCGCAUCAGCUAGUUGGUGGGGUAAUGGCCUACCAAGGCGACGACGCGUAGCUGGUCUGAGAGGACGACCAGCCACAGGAGCACUGAGACACGGGCUCCACUCCUACGGGAGGCAGCAGUUAGGAAUCUUCGUCAAUGGGCGAAAGCCUGAACGAGCGACGCCGCUUGAGGGACGAAGCCCUUCGGGGUGUAAACCUCUGAACAGGGGACGAUGAUGACGGUACCCUGCUAAUAGCACCGGCUAACUCCGUGCCAGCAGCCGCGGUAAUACGGAGGGUGCGAGCGUUACCCGGAUUUACUGGGCGUAAAGGGCGUGUAGGCGGUUUUCUAAGUCCGGGGCUAAAGACCAGGGCUCAACCCUGGGUUUGCCUUGGAUACUGGAAAGCUCGACGGCUGGAGGGGGCAGCGGAAUUUCCGGAGUAGCGGUGAAAGCAC
This 654-nucleotide ribosomal RNA is filed under the name uncultured bacterium. Its description in RNAcentral is "bacterial SSU rRNA". It matches the Rfam family "Bacterial small subunit ribosomal RNA", at positions 1 to 691 of the family's 1533-position model. The record is from RNAcentral.